AUAUGGUUUAAUUCCAAGAGAAUUGAGUUUAUCGUAUCUAAUGGUGCAAAACUUAACAAAGGUUUAGAAUGUCGCAAGCAAAUAUGUUUGCCGUAUAUUGCAGAAAAAAACAUGUCUACAUGUCAUGGACUUAAUGAUCUUAGGCUUUGAAUGGUGACACAUGUCCAAGCGCACAAAACCGUUUAUAUAUCGGACCGCUUUUUAUUUAUCGUUCACAAACUAUACUCACAAAACUAUACUCUGUAAUAGUGCGAAUUCAAGAAAAUAAAAGAAAAGCGCUGUGUACUAACUGCAGACCAUCUUUAAACUAAGUUUGUAGCGGUUUAUUGUCCGCCCCAAAAAUAAUAUGAAUUGAACCGCUGACGGAUCAGUCAGCACUAACCACAAUAUCCAUUCAAAACCUUAAUAUCUUGCGCACAAAGACAAGAGUACUAGAUUUGUCUAUUUUAAAAUUUUCUUUAAUCCCAUAUUAAUUAUAUAAAA
This 483-nucleotide small RNA is filed under the name Arabidopsis thaliana (thale cress). RNAcentral describes it as "ATSL193000". The record is from RNAcentral. Lineage: Eukaryota; Viridiplantae; Streptophyta; Magnoliopsida; Brassicales; Brassicaceae.